Molecule: long non-coding RNA, 3138 nt
Organism: Ictalurus punctatus (channel catfish)
Lineage: Eukaryota; Metazoa; Chordata; Actinopteri; Siluriformes; Ictaluridae
Source: Ensembl
AGUGAAGGAGUCGUUUACAAAUGUAACUGAAUCACUGAAGGAGUCAUUUACAUUUAUAACAGAAUCAGUGAAGGAGUCGUUUACAAAUGUAAAUGAAUCACUGAAGGGGUCAUUUACAAAUGUAGGACAGGAAGUGUGGAGAAAGUGGGGGAUUCCGGGAUGGACAGACUCUCAGUGUGACUCUCAGUGUGAAAGACAGAAUGGAGUGAUGGUGAAGAAUGCAUGUCUCGGUUUUAAACACUUAGUAAGGGUUCAAUGUUCUCACUGUCUCUCAUCCUUCUUCACACUCUGUAAUGCUCCAACUGCUCAACUGCGUGACUCUCUCUCUCUCUCUCUCUGUGAGAUGAUGUGAGAUGGUUAAAUCUUUAGUGGAAUAUUGAGGAUUUUAGAUCAAAUGUUGCAGGUGUUUUUAAAUCAGUUUGAACAUAAAACUUUAAGAAAGUCAGAAUAUUUCUGCUGUGUUACCGUCACCUGACGUUAUGUUGAUAAAAAUGUUGUCUUUAAAAUAAAUCUGAUUAACACGCAGUUGUUCCCGAGUUAAUCUUUUUGCACAGUGCAUGUUUGAGAUGAUUCCAGAUAGAGAUGAGACAGAUGACGACACAGAUAGAGUUCUCCUUAAAGCCGAUGAUGUCACUGAGACAGAAACGUUCGAACAUAUCUCCUUUUGAGUUCAAUUUUAGAUGAAAAAGGAUUAAAACUUAUGAACACUGAGGCUUUGAGACAGUCUGAGACGUUCCCCUGAGAACCACAUCUUCCGCUGUGCUUCUACUUCUGCUGUCCUUUUUAUGUCUUCACUUAAAAUGUUCUGUUAUAAACGACAGUAUUUAUAAAAACAUUUACAGCAGACAAGCACUUAGAGAUUUGUGAACUCAUUUACUGAGCAGUGUGUGCAUGCGAGAUAUUUCUGGACUAUACAAAGAUAAAUUAUCCCCAAACAUGGCGGAAUUCAUUUACAAAAGUAAGCGGAUCAAUUAAGGAGUCGUUUAUAAUGUAAGUGAGUCACUCCAAAAGCCAUUUAAGGAUUCAUUCACAAUUGAAUUACUUUUCUACUUACUUAAAGAGUCUUUUUCAAAUAUGACUGCACUGUUUGAGAAGUCAUUUACACAAGUGCGUCACUUGAAGAGGCAUUUACAAAUGCUGAUGUUUGACGUUAAUUCGGAUGGUGUUGGCGUUUGAUGUUAAUUCGGAUGGUGUUUGAUGUUAAUUCGGAUGAUGUGGUGUAUGAUGUUAAUUUGGAUGGUGUUUGAGGUUAAUUAGGAUGGUGUGGUGUAUAAUGUUAAUUUGGAUGGUGUUUGAGGUUAAUUAGGAUGGUGUUGGUGUUUGACGUUAAUUCCAAUGGGUGUUUCACGUUAAUUCCAAUGGUGUUGGUGUCUGAAACUGAAACAGCUUCACCUACAGAAAACGUCUCGUACAAGUGAGUCGACUCUCAGCGUGUGAACGACUCACCGAGCGACUCGUUCACAAACGACCCAUCACUAAUAUCCAGAUGUUUCCUCAUGCUCUCAGUCUGUCUGCGUGCUGGAAUAAUCUUUUACAUUCUUGGUAUUUACUCAGGCAGAACACAGGGACGUAUCGAUCUGUAAUACAUUCCUCUUUCCCGUCGUUCUUUUUUUUACUGAGAAGUGUAACCACGGAGACGUGACGAAACUAUCCAUACGUUUUACGCGUGCAAGCCGUCUUGCCGUGGAACGUUCCGGUGAAUCAUUUCUUCAUCCGUUCUCAAACAUGUCACAUUAAGCCUUUAGAAGUCGUUCAACAUCAAUACAAAGACGAAGUGAUGGGGCAAUGACAAACACAGCUGACUGGGAAAUAAAUUCUGAUUGUUCAAAAACCUUCUCGCUUCUCACUGGACCAUUUGUAGACCCUCAAUGGGAAAGACCGGAAGCUUCCUCACGACACACUCGGAUCUUCUGCUCUAAUCAUUACAUUGUGCUUCCUCCAUGUUUACAGACUUGCCUCUGUCUUCACUGUGUAUCUCUACUCCAUCAUUCUGUAUUGAUUCCACUGUUCUUCUGUUCUCCAUCAUGGCAAUGGAUGUCUAAUGGAUGUCUGAUGUCUAACCCUGUUCUUUACCCUGAGGGGAAAAGUUCCUCCUGGAAUUGCACCAUGUAGGAACUUGAAUUUCCUUGUUUGGAAAAAAAAAAAAAAAACACACGAGGAAACCUAAGGAUGGAGAACCUUCUUUUUCUGGGAAGUCGGUGAUGAAGGUGAUGAAUUUCUCUUGUUUGAAAGAUAGACUUUAAGAAAAAAAAGAGAUAUAGUUAUAUAUAUUUCCCUCCAGAGACCCAAAAAGGAUUCACCCUACAACCACCUCUUAUUUGAGAGGGUUCUAAUUUAAGAACUCCAGAGAAACUCAUUGAAGAACCAUUUAAAAAUCACCGUUUUAUUCUUAUGAGUUUACGUUAGCAUCCUAAACAGUUCAUCGGUUUGGUUCUCUUGGGAACCCAGACAGGAUCUUCGUUUCUUUCCAUGUAGAACCUCUUUUGAAGCGUUUUUUACAGUGAGAUUUAGAACCGAAGAUCGUUACUUUAUUUAUUUAGUUCAUUCGUUUAUUUAGAUCGUGAGGCGUUUUAUUUUCACCGCCCCAAGGCUACUUUUUUCUGAAAUCCUUCCAUACACAUUUCAGUACCCAAAGAGCAAAAUGAUAUGUCUGGGUUCUGUUUUAUGUUCUGACCUUUGCUUUUGACUCGAUGAUUCAGAGUUUAACUGGGCUUUAAAAAUGAAAGGUUAGAACUUUAUUGAACCACUUUCCCUGGGAAAUCACUUCACACCACAGGAUGAAGAUGAGAGCACUGCACGCUUUACUCACUUUAGAGAACCGGUCCAAAUUGUGGAAAUGUUCUAGCAGCUCAUAAAGACUUUUACAGAAUCUCACCACAGCUGAACAAAAGAAUCGUUUGGGCUUUGUGCAACAGCGUUUUAGUAACAGUCCGUCCACAAUUGUACUCAUAAAUGAGGCGAAAGCGUGAAUAAGAGAGAGAUUUGGAGCUGAGAUGGUGUUUUCUCUUAAAUGAAGAACUCAUUCAGUGACGCCGGAGGAAGAGGAAAGUUGAUUAACGGUGUUUGUGCACUGUUUAUUGUUCUCUCCUUGUUUCUCUGCUGAUAUCAGGGGCUCUGGUUCUGUCUGACACAAUACAA